Molecule: ribosomal RNA, 450 nt
Filed under: uncultured Glomeromycotina
Lineage: Eukaryota; Fungi; Glomeromycota
Description: SSU rRNA
Rfam family: Eukaryotic small subunit ribosomal RNA
Source: RNAcentral
AGCAGCCGCGGUAAUUCCAGCUCCAAUAGCGUAUAUUAAAGUUGCUGCAGUUAAAAGCUCGUAGUUGAAUUUCGGGAUCAAUAUGUCGGUCGUGCCUCGGUACGCACUGGCUUAUUGGUUUCUCCCUUCUGACGAACCAUGAUGUCAUUAAUUUGGUGUCUUGGGAAAUCAGGACUGUUACUUUGAAAAAUUAGAGUGUUUAAAGCAGGCUCACGCUUGAAUACAUUAGCAUGGAAUAAUGAAAUAGGACGUUUGAUUCUAUUUUGUUGGUUUCUAGGAUCGACGUAAUGAUUAAUAGGGAUAGUUGGGGGCAUUAGUAUUCAAUUGUCAGAGGUGAAAUUCUUGGAUUUAUUGAAGACUAACUACUGCGAAAGCAUUUGCCAAGGAUGUUUUCAUUAAUCAAGAACGAAAGUUAGGGAUCGAAGACGAUCAGAUACCGUCGUAGUCUUA